GCCCAUUAGCUAGCCCUUUUACUAACAUCAACAAAUCACUAUUAAUUAACCCCGCACCCACUCACCCUAACUAAACAAACCAUUUCAAGCCCCCAGUACGGGAGACAAAACAGGAACUCACGGAGCAAUAGAAAAAGUACCGCAAGGGAACGCUGAAAAAGAGAUGAAAUAGCCCAGUAAAGCCUAAAGAAGCAAAGAUUAAACCUUGUACCUUU
Molecule: ribosomal RNA, 215 nt
Filed under: Lactarius lactarius (false trevally)
Lineage: Eukaryota; Metazoa; Chordata; Actinopteri; Lactariidae
Description: partial 16S ribosomal RNA
Source: RNAcentral